UUUCUCAUUUCUUCUACCCCAAUCUUGAAGACAAACAAACAUGAGAAACAACCACCACCAGCAACCAUCUUCUCCAGGAGAAACAAACAACCAGCACCAGCAACCACCUCCUCCGGCGAAACUAACCGGACUUCUUCUCCGGCACUCUCUCUCCUCAAUAAACAACAACCACCAGCAACCACCUUCUCCAGCGAAACUCACCGGACUUCUUCUCCGGUGCUCUCUCUCCUCUCGGUCUAAUUGCUCUUGAAACAUACCAAUAAAGAUAUUCAAUCGACAAGCUGGAUGGAUGUAGGCGACGUUAAUGCGGGGACAUGUGUUAAAAAAAGAUAUUCAAUAGGUCACAUUUUUUUGGGAAGGAACUCUUCGUUCAUUUAUAACAUGUGUUAGUGGUUCAUGCUGUAACAGAACACCAUGAUGUAACCUGACAUCUGUUCAUGUAUAACUUGUUUAAGCCACUGUUAGAACGAUAUAUAACGUGUGUUAACCUUGGUUACUAGUAAUAUAUAAUGUGAGACUCUUAUUAUUUUA
Long non-coding RNA from Helianthus annuus (common sunflower), 531 nucleotides. RefSeq lists it as uncharacterized. Lineage: Eukaryota; Viridiplantae; Streptophyta; Magnoliopsida; Asterales; Asteraceae. The record is from RefSeq and is a predicted model, not a curated record. The transcript has 2 exons.